This 282-nucleotide ribosomal RNA is filed under the name uncultured bacterium. RNAcentral's name for it is "partial 16S ribosomal RNA". It matches the Rfam family "Bacterial small subunit ribosomal RNA", at positions 335 to 600 of the family's 1533-position model. The record is from RNAcentral.
ACUCCUACGGGAGGCAGCAGUGGGAAUAUUGCACAAUGGGGAAAGCCCAUCGAUGCAGCCAUGCCGCGUGUGUGAAGAAGGCCAAUUCGGGCUUUGGUUAAAGACACUUUUCAGCGAGGAGGAAAGGGUGUAAGUUAAUACCUUACAUCUGUGACGUUACUCGCAGAAGAAGCACCGGCUAACUCCGUGCCAGCAGCCGCGGUAAUACGGAGGGUGCGAGCGUUAAUCGGAAUUACUGGGCGUAAAGCGUGCGCAGGCGGUUUGUUAAGCGAGAUGUGAAAG